This 25-nucleotide ribosomal RNA is filed under the name Pistacia terebinthus (terebinth). The record is from RNAcentral. Lineage: Eukaryota; Viridiplantae; Streptophyta; Magnoliopsida; Sapindales; Anacardiaceae.
UGGGUGCGAUCAUACCANCACUAAA